Molecule: transfer RNA, 75 nt
Filed under: Dictyobacter arantiisoli
Lineage: Bacteria; Bacillati; Chloroflexota; Ktedonobacteria; Ktedonobacterales; Dictyobacteraceae
Description: tRNA-Glu
Rfam family: tRNA
About the family: Transfer RNA (tRNA) molecules are approximately 80 nucleotides in length.
Source: RNAcentral
GCCUCGUUCGUCUAGCGGCCUAGGACGUUGCCCUUUCAAGGCAAAGAUCACGGGUUCGAAUCCCGUACGAGGUAC